AGAGUUUGAUCCUGGCUCAGGAUGAACGCUAGCUACAGGCUUAACACAUGCAAGUCGAGGGGAAACGACAUCGAAAGCUUGCUUUUGAUGGGCGUCGACCGGCGCACGGGUGAGUAACGCGUAUCCAACCUGCCCACCACUUGGGGAUAACCUUGCGAAAGUAAGACUAAUACCCAAUGAUAUCUCUAGAAGACAUCUGAAAGAGAUUAAAGAUUUAUCGGUGAUGGAUGGGGAUGCGUCUGAUUAGCUUGUUGGCGGGUAACGGCCACCAAGGCGACGAUCAGUAGGGGUUCUGAGGAGGAAGGUCCCCCACAUUGGAACUGAGACACGGUCCAAACUCCUACGGAGCA
This 350-nucleotide ribosomal RNA is filed under the name uncultured bacterium. Its description in RNAcentral is "bacterial SSU rRNA". It matches the Rfam family "Bacterial small subunit ribosomal RNA", at positions 8 to 349 of the family's 1533-position model. The record is from RNAcentral.